AUUUUGACCAACUCGCAAUGAUGGAUACUGCAUUUUAGAAAGGAAAAUAGGCAUUCACGUUAGAGAUUUGUUAUCUGUAUUUCAAAAUGCUGGCAAAACCAUGGCUACUUAAGUCGUAUCCCACCACAUAUGGAUCACGUUAGACUUCGCCAUAUUCUCGCUCAAUUUGGAGAACUCGGAAGGAUUAUAAACAGAGAAUGUGAUUUUUAAUGGC
Molecule: long non-coding RNA, 214 nt
Organism: Arabidopsis thaliana (thale cress)
Lineage: Eukaryota; Viridiplantae; Streptophyta; Magnoliopsida; Brassicales; Brassicaceae
Product: other RNA
Exons: 1
Source: RefSeq